CGGUGGUCAGAACCGAAUCCGUGUUCACGCU
RNAcentral lists this ribosomal RNA (31 nucleotides) under Allolobophora chlorotica. Its description in RNAcentral is "partial 28S ribosomal RNA". Lineage: Eukaryota; Metazoa; Annelida; Clitellata; Crassiclitellata; Lumbricidae. The record is from RNAcentral.